This 301-nucleotide ribosomal RNA is filed under the name uncultured bacterium. RNAcentral describes it as "partial 16S ribosomal RNA". It matches the Rfam family "Bacterial small subunit ribosomal RNA", at positions 509 to 808 of the family's 1533-position model. The record is from RNAcentral.
CAGCGCCGCGGUAAUGCGUAGGGGGCAAGCGUUAUCCGGAAUUACUGGGUGUAAAGGGAGCGUAGACGGUUAAACAAGUCUGAGGUGAAAUGCCGGGGCUCAACCCCGGAGCUGCUUUGGGAACUGUAGAACUGGAGUGUCGGAGGGGUAAGCGGAAUUCCCAGUGUAGCGGUGAAAUGCGUAGAUAUUGGGAGGAACACCGGCGGCGAAGGCGGCUUACUGGACGACAACUGACGUUGAGGCUCGAAGGCGUGGGUAGCAAACAGGAUUAGAGACCCCCGUAGUCCCUGUCUCUUAUACA